This 75-nucleotide transfer RNA is filed under the name Gammaproteobacteria bacterium. Its description in RNAcentral is "tRNA-Val". It matches the Rfam family "tRNA". Rfam says of the family: Transfer RNA (tRNA) molecules are approximately 80 nucleotides in length. Their secondary structure includes four short double-helical elements and three loops (D, anti-codon, and T loops). The record is from RNAcentral. Lineage: Bacteria; Pseudomonadati; Pseudomonadota; Gammaproteobacteria.
GCGAGUUUAGCUCAGUUGGUUAGAGCACUGCUUUACACGCAGGGGUCGUAGGUUCGAAUCCUACAACUCGCACCA